UAAGAUUAGCCUGCGUCCGAUUAGCUAGUUGGUGGGGUAAAGGCCUACCAAGGCGACGAUCGGUAGCUGGUCUGAGAGGAUGAUCAGCCACACUGGGACUGAGACACGGCCCAGACUCCUACGGGAGGCAGCAGUGGGGAAUAUUGGACAAUGGGGGGAACCCUGAUCCAGCAAUGCCGCGUGUGUGAAGAAGGCCUGAGGGUUGUAAAGCACUUUCGGCGGGGAGGAGGAUGAGUUGGUUAAGAGCUGACUUAUUGGACGUUACCCGCAUAAGAAGCACCGGCUAACUCCGUGCCAGCAGCCGCGGUAAUACGGAGGGUGCGAGCGUUAAUCGGAAUUACUGGGCGUAAAGGGUGCGUAGGUGGUUAUGUAAGUUAUCUGUGAAAGCCCAGGGCUCAACCUUGGAUGGUCAGAUAAAACUGUGUAGCUAGAGUAUGGGAGAGGGUAGUGGAAUUUCCGGUGUAGCGGUGAAAUGCGUAGAGAUCGGAAGGAACACCAGUGGCGAAGGCGGCUACCUGGCUUAAUACUGACACUGAGGCACGAAA
This 545-nucleotide ribosomal RNA is filed under the name uncultured Legionella sp. RNAcentral's name for it is "bacterial SSU rRNA". It matches the Rfam family "Bacterial small subunit ribosomal RNA", at positions 221 to 758 of the family's 1533-position model. Lineage: Bacteria; Pseudomonadati; Pseudomonadota; Gammaproteobacteria; Legionellales; Legionellaceae. The record is from RNAcentral.